GAUGAACGCUGGCGGCGUGCUUAACACAUGCAAGUCGAACGGAAAGGCUCCUGCUUGCAGGGGUACUCGAGUGGCGAACGGGUGAGUAACACGUGGGUGAUCUGCCCUGCACUUCGGGAUAAGCCUGGGAAACUGGGUCUAAUACCGGAUAGGACCACAUUUUGGAUGGUGUGGUGGAAAGUUUUUCGGUGUGGGAUGAGCUCGCGGCCUAUCAGCUUGUUGGUAGGGUAAUGGCCUACCAAGGCGUCGACGGGUAGCGGGCCUGAGAGGGUGUACGGCCACAUUGGGACUGAGAUACGGCCCAGACUCCUACGGGAGGCAGCAGUGGGGAAUAUUGCACAAUGGGCGCAAGCCUGAUGCAGCGACGCCGCGUGGGGGAUGACGGCCUUCGGGUUGUAAACUCCUUUCGCUAGGGACGAAGCGCAAGUGACGGUACCUGGAGAAGAAGCACCGGCUAACUACGUG
Molecule: ribosomal RNA, 465 nt
Filed under: uncultured bacterium
Lineage: Bacteria
Description: partial 16S ribosomal RNA
Rfam family: Bacterial small subunit ribosomal RNA
Source: RNAcentral